CACUACAUUCCCUAACCCCAAACUCGUGACAGAUGCGAGGUUUUUGAUACAAAUAAAAAUACUUUCUUUUUCCAUUUUUAAACCAGAAAAUAAAAUAAUAUUUAAAUUGUAUAAAAUGAAACCAUCAACAAUUUCAAUUUCAGCGAGCGAAAAAGAGAAGAAAAUUGCGAGGCAAAAAACGCGCAGAGCUUUAUUUUUCAGAGAAGGUCGCCUUUAAACCGUAAUUAAAUUCAGUUCAUCGAUUUGAUUCCUUAUAAAACCCUAAUUGGAGAACAACGAUUCUUUCAAGGUAAACAAUUGAAAUGCAUUGUUCAUGUUGAGGUGGAGACUUGAACCCAAGUCUGUGAAAGCAUUUCUAAGUUGAUAACUUCUGGUAUUCUUUAACGUGGAAUUUUCUUUAAUUUAUCCAAAAAUCAAACAAGAACGUGCUGGAAUGUUCUGAAAGUUGGGAGUGUUACCAGUUAUCCUAAUCACAAUGACUAUCACAUAGGACGAUCAAGGCAGGAGUAUUGUCAACUGAUGUUGACUUGCCAUAUAUUAUGCAAUAUAUGUAUGUUGUCGUCUGCAGUAAAGGAAAUUAGUUAAUAUCAGAAAGAAUGUCGAGGGGUCAAUCUCAGCGAAGAGUUGAUUCUCAGAAGAGAUCCUUAGAAAGAUGCAAGUUAAAAGGAAAAUAUAAUAAUGUUGUUGACAUUGAUAGUGACAGAAUCGCUAAUUUAAUUAUUAUUGAUGCCCCAGAAACUUCAGAAGGGAUAGCUCCUGAUGCUAGUGUUUCUGGACAGGAAAAAACACCGGCAUGUAGGAAUAUCAUUUGUAUUGAUGAUGAUGAAAGUGGUGAUUGUGGCAGUUCUUCAGAUAGUCUUGAAGAGAGUGGAAAUCCAAAUUCUUAUUUCACCUCAAGUAACAAAUGUCGGCCUUCUUGUAAUCAAGGAAGGAAACUUUCCUCUAAAACAUCAAAUUGCUGGGCUACCUGCUCCAGUAAAAGAUCUUCCUCUGAUACUUCAUGUGAGAAUGAUGAUUCUGAUUGUGACAUUGAGGAAGAUCAUCUGGGAAAUAUUCGUCAACAGUGGGAAGAGGCUUCACUGAGGAAGAAGAGGUUUGAUAAUUUCCCAAGAGGCCAAUUUGAUUUCCAGAAUGAGGUUGGUCCUGUGGGAUUUGAUAUUGACUCUCGAAAUGAUAUUGAUGUAGAUAAAACAGUUGACGUGCCAAAAUCUUGUUCAUCCAAUGGAAAUCAUAGGAAUGAUAACUUAAGCACAUCUAAAUAUAUUGGUGAAGAUGCAAGUGUCAUUGCUAAUAAGUCAGACGGGGAGAGUUGGCACACAGAUAAGGAAAGGUCCAUUCAGCAGGAGAUGUAUAAAGAAUCUUCUGUUUGCUGCUCUAAAGUUGUAAAUGAGACAAAUGGUGAUGGUCCAUCUGGUGUCCCAAACUUUAUCGUUGGAAACAGAGAAAUGCUCAAGAAAACUGAUGCUUAUAGACGUGCUGAAGAAGAAGAAUGGGCAUCCAGGCAAAGAGAGUUACAAGCUCAGGCAGAAGAAGCACGGCGCUUGAAAAAGAGAAAAAAGGCUGAAAAUCUGCGUCUAAUAGAAACAGAGAGAAGGCAAAAACAGCGGCUGGAAGAGGUUCGAGAGGCACAGAAAAAGGAUGAAGAAACUCUGAACUUGAAGGAGCAGCUUCGGGUCGAGAUAAGGAGGGAACUGGAUAAACUGGAAGCUAACAGUCAAGAUAUGGCUUCACUUCUUCGUGGCCUUGGAAUUGAAGUUAGAGGUGAUUUGCCUUCUGAGAUACGUACGGCUUAUAAGAAAGCCCUGCUUCGGUUCCAUCCAGAUCGAGCAUCGCGAAGUGACAUUCAUCAGCAAAUUGAAGCCGAGGAGAAAUUUAAGCUUAUUUCACGUGCAAGAGAGAAAUUUAUGUUUUGACGUGAUGAGACAAUUAAGCUUAGUUUGAAAUUUUGAUCAUUCUUGCCACAUCUGUGUUAUAACUCAUGUUCACAAAGCUUUCAACGCGCAUAUAGAUCAGCAAAAGUAAUGUGUUUCUUUAAGAUAGGUGGUUAGGAUAAAACUCAGGCAGUGUUGGAAUGUUGAUUAGGAAACUGCAGACCUACGAGUCAAAGAUUAGAAUCUGAGCUCGGCUUAUUACACUUAUAUAGGAUUUGUAAUUGUUACAGAAGCACUCGUGUAUGAAAAAGUUGGGAAGAUCUGGAUUGUAUAAACUUUUCCUGGAUGAAAA
RNA transcript from Jatropha curcas, 2223 nucleotides. RefSeq lists it as uncharacterized. The record is from RefSeq and is a predicted model, not a curated record. NCBI's taxonomy places the organism in Eukaryota, Viridiplantae, Streptophyta, Magnoliopsida, Malpighiales, Euphorbiaceae.